This 1202-nucleotide ribosomal RNA is filed under the name Nectria sp. INBio_4504V. Its description in RNAcentral is "eukaryotic LSU rRNA". The stretch from base 316 to 1202 matches the Rfam family "Eukaryotic large subunit ribosomal RNA", at positions 1 to 921 of the family's 3401-position model. Lineage: Eukaryota; Fungi; Ascomycota; Sordariomycetes; Hypocreales; Nectriaceae. The record is from RNAcentral.
AAAACUUUCAACAACGGAUCUCUUGGUUCUGGCAUCGAUGAAGAACGCAGCGAAAUGCGAUAAGUAAUGUGAAUUGCAGAAUUCAGUGAAUCAUCGAAUCUUUGAACGCACAUUGCGCCCAUUAGUAUUCUAGUGGGCAUGCCUGUUCGAGCGUCAUUUAAAGACUCAAGCUCUGCUUGGUGUUGGGGAUCAGCCCUCUUGCGGCUGGCCCUGAAAACUAGUGGCGGUCUCGCUGUAGCUUCCUCUGCGUAGUAGCACAAACUCGCUCUGGAAAGCAGCGCGGCUCAGCCGUUAAACCCCCCAAUUAUCUAAGGUUGACCUCGGAUCAGGUAGGAAUACCCGCUGAACUUAAGCAUAUCAAUAAGCGGAGGAAAAGAAACCAACAGGGAUUGCCCUAGUAACGGCGAGUGAAGCGGCAACAGCUCAAAUUUGAAAUCUGGCCUUCUGGUCCGAAUUGUAAUUUGUAGAGGAUGCUUUUGGCAAGGUGCCUUCCGAGUUCCCUGGAACGGGACGCCAUAGAGGGUGAGAGCCCCGUCUGGUUGGAUACCGAGCCUCUGUAAAGCUCCUUCGACGAGUCGAGUAGUUUGGGAAUGCUGCUCUAAAUGGGAGGUAUAUGUCUUCUAAAGCUAAAUACCGGCCAGAGACCGAUAGCGCACAAGUAGAGUGAUCGAAAGAUGAAAAGCACUUUGAAAAGAGGGUUAAACAGUACGUGAAAUUGUUGAAAGGGAAGCGUUUAUGACCAGACUUGGACUCGGUUGAUCAUCCAGUGUUCUCACUGGUGCACUCUGCCGGUUCAGGCCAGCAUCAGUUCGUGGCGGGGGAUAAAAGUGGCGGGAAUGUGGCCCUCUCGGGGGUGUUAUAGCCCACUACAUAAUACCCUGCUGUGGACUGAGGUUCGCGCUCUGCAAGGAUGCUGGCGUAAUGGUCAUCAACGACCCGUCUUGAAACACGGACCAAGGAGUCGUCUUCGUAUGCGAGUGUUCGGGUGUCAAACCCCUACGCGUAAUGAAAGUGAACGCAGGUGAGAGCUUCGGCGCAUCAUCGACCGAUCCUGAUGUUCUCGGAUGGAUUUGAGUAAGAGCAUACGGGGCCGGACCCGAAAGAAGGUGAACUAUGCCUGUAUAGGGUGAAGCCAGAGGAAACUCUGGUGGAGGCUCGCAGCGGUUCUGACGUGCAAAUCGAUCGUCAAAUAUGGGCAUGGG